AGAGAAAGAGAGAGUGAGGGAGAGAUUAAGGGGUCAAGGGUGGCGUUUUUCUUCAAGACCAUGGCAGCAGCUACAGUGACGCGAAGAAGCCAUGGAGCAACUAAAAAUCUUCAUCCUUUCAAUCCUCAAAUUUUAGCAAACUAAGGAGCUAAGUAUCAAGGUUGAGAUCCUAUGGGGCAGCAUAUACAUAUUGUGUACGGAUAAAUGCUAAAGGUACAAAUAUUAAUUUCGAGAAUCCGCCAGCUUAGGAUUUCCACUCAGCUAUUUUGGAAGUUCUUCAUUAUUCCGGAGCCUAGAAUUAUGAUAUAGAUAUUUUGAUGUAUAUAUUUAUUUAUCCAUGGGUACGGCGGGGCCUUGUCCCGUCAUAUAAUACUGUUGAUAUUCUUAGAGGUCUGUAGACAUAUAUGUGGGUGGUAU
Long non-coding RNA from Solanum dulcamara, 417 nucleotides. RefSeq lists it as uncharacterized. The transcript is spliced from 3 exons. Lineage: Eukaryota; Viridiplantae; Streptophyta; Magnoliopsida; Solanales; Solanaceae. The record is from RefSeq and is a predicted model, not a curated record.